GGAAUUUUGGACAAUGGGCGAAAGCCUGAUCCAGCAAUGCCGCGUGAGUGAAGAAGGCCUUCGGGUUGUAAAGCUCUUUUGUCAGGGAAGAAACGGUGAGAGCUAAUAUCUCUUGCUAAUGACGGUACCUGAAGAAUAAGCACCGGCUAACUACGUGCCAGCAGCCGCGGUAAUACGUAGGGUGCAAGCGUUAAUCGGAAUUACUGGGCGUAAAGCGUGCGCAGGCGGUUUUGUAAGUCUGAUGUGAAAUCCCCGGGCUCAACCUGGGAAUUGCAUUGGAGACUGCAAGGCUAGAAUCUGGCAGAGGGGGGUAGAAUUCCACGUGUAGCAGUGAAAUGCGUAGAUAUGUGGAGGAACACCGAUGGCGAAGGCAGCCCCCUGGGUCAAGAUUGACGCUCAUGCACGAAAGCGUGGGGAGCAAACAGGAUUAGAUACCCCAG
Molecule: ribosomal RNA, 440 nt
Filed under: uncultured Janthinobacterium sp.
Lineage: Bacteria; Pseudomonadati; Pseudomonadota; Betaproteobacteria; Burkholderiales; Oxalobacteraceae
Description: bacterial SSU rRNA
Rfam family: Bacterial small subunit ribosomal RNA
Source: RNAcentral